GUCCACGCCCUAAACGAUGUCAACUGGUUGUUGGUCCUUAGCUGGAUCAGUAACGAAGCUAACGCGUGAAGUUGACCGCCUGGGGAGUACGGCCGCAAGGUUGAACUCAAAGGAAUUGACGGGGACCCGCACAAGCGGUGGAUGAUGUGGUUUAAUUCGAUGCAACGCGAAAACCUUACCCCCUUUGACAUGUACGGAAGUCGCCAGAGAUGGCUUCGUGCUCGAAAGAGAGCCCGUAACACAGGUGCUGCAUGGCUGUCGU
This 262-nucleotide ribosomal RNA is filed under the name uncultured bacterium. Its description in RNAcentral is "partial 16S ribosomal RNA". It matches the Rfam family "Bacterial small subunit ribosomal RNA", at positions 793 to 1055 of the family's 1533-position model. The record is from RNAcentral.